UAGUGGCGAACGGGUGAGUAAUACGUGAGUAACCUGCCCUUGACUCUGGGAUAAGCCUGGGAAACUGGGUCUAAUACUGGAUACUACCUCUUACCGCAUGGUGGGUGGUGGAAAGGGUUUUACUGGUUUUGGAUGGGCUCACGGCCUAUCAGCUUGUUGGUGGGGUAAUGGCUCACCAAGGCGACGACGGGUAGCCGGCCUGAGAGGGUGACCGGCCACACUGGGACUGAGACACGGCCCAGACUCCUACGGGAGGCAGCAGUGGGGAAUAUUGCACAAUGGGCGGAAGCCUGAUGCAGCGACGCCGCGUGAGGGAUGACGGCCUUCGGGUUGUAAACCUCUUUCAGUAGGGAAGAAGCGAGAGUGACGGUACCUGCAGAAGAAGCGCCGGCUAACUACGUGCCAGCAGCCGCGGUAAUACGUAGGGCGCAAGCGUUGUCCGGAAUUAUUGGGCGUAAAGAGCUCGUAGGCGGUUUGUCGCGUCUGCUGUGAAAGCCCGGGGCUCAACCCCGGGUCUGCAGUGGGUACGGGCAGACUAGAGUGCAGUAGGGGAGACUGGAAUUCCUGGUGUAGCGGUGAAAUGCGCAGAUAUCAGGAGGAACACCGAUGGCGAAGGCAGG
RNAcentral lists this ribosomal RNA (620 nucleotides) under Kocuria sp. I12A-00965. RNAcentral describes it as "bacterial SSU rRNA". It matches the Rfam family "Bacterial small subunit ribosomal RNA", at positions 93 to 725 of the family's 1533-position model. Lineage: Bacteria; Bacillati; Actinomycetota; Actinomycetes; Micrococcales; Micrococcaceae. The record is from RNAcentral.